GGUAUGGGAUGAGCUUGCGUCCGAUUAGCUAGUUGGCGGGGCAACGGCCCACCAAGGCGACGAUCGGUAGCCGGCCUGAGAGGGUGAUCGGCCACAUUGGGACUGAGAUACGGCCCAGACUCCUACGGGAGGCAGCAGUAGGGAAUAUUGCACAAUGGGGGAAACCCUGAUGCAGCAACGCCACGUGUGGGAAGAAGCAUUUCGGUGUGUAAACCACUGUCGUGAGGGAAUAAGGCGUCUUCUCGGAGGCGUUGAAUGUACCUCGAAAGGAAGCACCGGCAAACUUCGUGCCAGCAGCCGCGGUAAUACGAGGGGUGCAAGCGUUGUUCGAAAUCACUGGGCGUAAAGGGAGCGUAGGCGGAGAUGCAAGCGGACUGUACAAUACCGGGGCCCAACCCCGGGCCUGCAGUUCGGACUGCACCUCUUGGAUAGUUCAGGGGCAGGC
This 445-nucleotide ribosomal RNA is filed under the name uncultured bacterium. RNAcentral's name for it is "bacterial SSU rRNA". It matches the Rfam family "Bacterial small subunit ribosomal RNA", at positions 217 to 662 of the family's 1533-position model. The record is from RNAcentral.